This 445-nucleotide ribosomal RNA is filed under the name uncultured Streptococcus sp. RNAcentral describes it as "bacterial SSU rRNA". It matches the Rfam family "Bacterial small subunit ribosomal RNA", at positions 933 to 1382 of the family's 1533-position model. The record is from RNAcentral. Lineage: Bacteria; Bacillati; Bacillota; Bacilli; Lactobacillales; Streptococcaceae.
UGGAGCAUGUGUUAAUUCGAAGCAACGCGAAGAACCUUACCAGGUCUUGACAUCCCGAUGCUAUUUCUAGAGAUAGAAAGUUACUUCGGUACAUCGGUGACAGGUGGUGCAUGGUUGUCGUCAGCUCGUGUCGUGAGAUGUUGGGUUAAGUCCCGCAACGAGCGCAACCCCUAUUGUUAGUUGCCAUCAUUCAGUUGGGCACUCUAGCGAGACUGCCGGUAAUAAACCGGAGGAAGUGGGGAUGACGUCAAAUCAUCAUGCCCCUUAUGACCUGGGCUACACACGUGCUACAAUGGGCGGUACAAAGGGUUGCUAGUCCGCGAGGAGGAGCUAAUCCCAAAAAGCCGCUCUCAGUUCGGAUCGGAGUCUGCAACUCGACUCUGUGAAGUUGGAAUCGCUAGUAAUCGUGGAUCAGCAUGCCACGGUGAAUACGUUCCCGGGCCUU